GUUGAACGCUGGCGCCAUGCCUUACACAUGCAAGUCGAACGGUAACAGGUUAAGCUGACGAGUGGCGAACGGGUGAGUAAUGUAUCGGAACGUGCCCAGUCGUGGGGGAUAACUGCUCGAAAGAGCAGCUAAUACCGCAUACGACCUGAGGGUGAAAGCGGGGGAUCGCAAGACCUCGCGCGAUUGGAGCGGCCGAUAUCAGAUUAGGUAGUUGGUGAGGUAAAGGCUCACCAAGCCGACGAUCUGUAGCUGGUCUGAGAGGACGACCAGCCACACUGGGACUGAGACACGGCCCAGACUCCUACGGGAGGCAGCAGUGGGGAAUUUUGGACAAUGGGCGCAAGCCUGAUCCAGCCAUGCCGCGUGCGGGAAGAAGGCCUUCGGGUUGUAAACCGCUUUUGUCAGGGAAGAAAAGGUUCUGGCUAAUACCUGGGACUCAUGACGGUACCUGAAGAAUAAGCACCGGCUAACUACGUGCCAGCAGCCGCAGUAA
This 493-nucleotide ribosomal RNA is filed under the name uncultured bacterium. Its description in RNAcentral is "partial 16S ribosomal RNA". It matches the Rfam family "Bacterial small subunit ribosomal RNA", at positions 28 to 523 of the family's 1533-position model. The record is from RNAcentral.